This 466-nucleotide ribosomal RNA is filed under the name uncultured bacterium. Its description in RNAcentral is "partial 16S ribosomal RNA". It matches the Rfam family "Bacterial small subunit ribosomal RNA", at positions 28 to 507 of the family's 1533-position model. The record is from RNAcentral.
GAUGAACGCUGGCGGCGUGCUUAACACAUGCAAGUCGAACGGAAGGGCCACAGCUGGCUGUGGUACUCGAGUGGCGAACGGGUGAGUAACACGUGGGUGAUCUGCCCUGUACUUCGGGAUAAGCUUGGGAAACUGAGUCUAAUCCCGUAUAGCAAUCGCAUGUCGGUGUGAGGCUGGAGAGCUUUUGCGGUAUGGGAUGAGCGCGCGGCCUAUCAGCUUGUUGUUGGGGUAAUGGUCUACGACGGCGUCGACGGGUAGCCGUCCUGAGAGUGUGUACGGGCUCAUGGGGACUGAGAUAGGGAGCAGACGGGUACAGGAGGCAGUAGUGGCGAAUAUUGCACAAUGGGAGCAAGCCUGAUGCAGAGACGCCGGGUGGGGAAUGCCGUUCUGCGGGUUGUAAAAUGCUUCAGUCAGAGACGAAGCGAAAGUGACGGUACCUAGAGAAGAAGCACCGGCUAACUACGUG